Molecule: long non-coding RNA, 280 nt
Filed under: Spirodela polyrhiza (greater duckweed)
Lineage: Eukaryota; Viridiplantae; Streptophyta; Magnoliopsida; Alismatales; Araceae
Description: long non-coding RNA (SPOL_LNC000653)
Source: RNAcentral
CUUCCUCGGUGAACGCAGGGGCGACUCCCAAGGGGAUUCUGAAGCUGAUGGAGUCGGAAGGGCUGACCAUCUGCCAUGUCAAGAGCCAUCUGCAGGUAAUCCUGCAGAGAACACGAACGACGAUAUCUCUGCGUCUGCAAAAGAGCUCGAAUCAUCGUUUCAUCUCAUCAUCCACAGAAGUAUCGGGCUGCCAAGAACAUACCGGACCCCCAAGAAUGCGCCUCUUCUUCCCUUCGUGUUGCAGGUGGAAGUAAAGGCGAAGGAGGCUCCUUCGGUCGUC